UGGUGGAGUGAUUUGUCUGCUUAAUUGCGAUAACGAACGAGACCUUAACCUGCUAAAUAGCCAGGCUAGCUUUGGCGGGUCGCCGGCUUCUUAGAGGGACUAUCGGCUCAAGCCGAUGGAAGUUUGAGGCAAUAACA
Molecule: ribosomal RNA, 137 nt
Filed under: uncultured eukaryote
Lineage: Eukaryota
Description: partial 18S ribosomal RNA
Rfam family: Eukaryotic small subunit ribosomal RNA
Source: RNAcentral